RNAcentral lists this ribosomal RNA (456 nucleotides) under Triticum aestivum (bread wheat). RNAcentral describes it as "partial small subunit ribosomal RNA". Lineage: Eukaryota; Viridiplantae; Streptophyta; Magnoliopsida; Poales; Poaceae. The record is from RNAcentral.
AUGAGCAAACGGAAAUGGACAGGAAAUCCCUGUUGCUCUUUCUGCAAACAGAUAGAAACGGUGCAACAUCUGUUCUUUACCUGUCCUGUGGCCAGAAUUGUUUGGCGAUCUAUUGGAGUAGUUCUUGACACUGAUAGAUGUCCGUCGAACUAUUGGCAAUACUUUGUGUGGUGUCACAAAUUCCUUCCUGGGAAGCAAAAGUUUUAUACAGUAGGCUUAGCAGCCGUAUGCUGGGCCAUUUGGCUGGCACGUAAUCGAGCUACUUUUGAAAAGAAACAAAUUAAGACUCCCUUUGAGAUUGUGUUUUCUCUCUGCUCUUUUCUACUCUACUGGACAGGGCUACAACAAGGAGAGGACGCCAAGGAGCUUCGCACUGGAGCUGAGAUGAUCAGGACUGGCACAAUGCAGCUGAUGAAGAUGUGUGGUACUGUCAAGCAACCAAUCCAAGGUGCCUGA